UACGAAGGGGGCUAGCGUUGCUCGGAAUCACUGGGCGUAAAGCGCACGUAGGCGGCUUGUUAAGUCAGGGGUGAAAUCCUGGAGCUUAACUCCGAAACUGCAUUCGAUACUGCCGUGCUUGAGGACUGGAGAGGAGACUGGAAUUUACGGUGUAGCGGUGAAAUGCGUAGAUAUCGUAAGGAAGACCAGUGGCGAAGGCGGGUCUCUGGACAGUUCCUGACGCUGAGGCACGAAGGUCAGGGGAGCAAACGGG
This 253-nucleotide ribosomal RNA is filed under the name uncultured bacterium. RNAcentral describes it as "partial 16S ribosomal RNA". It matches the Rfam family "Bacterial small subunit ribosomal RNA", at positions 524 to 776 of the family's 1533-position model. The record is from RNAcentral.